Oryctolagus cuniculus (rabbit) is the source of this 2096-nucleotide non-coding RNA. The record is from RefSeq and is a predicted model, not a curated record. Lineage: Eukaryota; Metazoa; Chordata; Mammalia; Lagomorpha; Leporidae.
CCGCCCAACUAGCCUACGGCAACGACCCGCCCACCUCAGGCCCCGCCUACCCCUCGACUCUACUGCCGCGGCGAUAGGAAGGCCCGGCGCGCCGGAAAGAGAGAAUUAUUCUUUCAGAAUCUUCUCUACUCCUUGCACUUCAACCAGCACUAGGCUGAGACGAAGAUGUGAUUUGCCUUCCAAGAGGGCAUGUUUGCUGUUGAGCCUGUGAAGUCAUCACCCUCAAAUUAAUUCAGUGGCUUGAAACCACAUUUCAAUAGCACUGUGAGGCUCCAACAACACUCCCAUUGUUAUCUGGCCCCACACAUGGAGCCACUGCCGCUUUGACUGGAUCCCUUCAUCUCCACCAGCUUGUUUGUUCUCUACUAUCCCUUUAUAAUCUCCAAGACAGCGGUUGGGCGCGUGACCUUCAAGUGUUCAAAGCAGAUUACUAUUGACGCCUGCCUUUAAGACAUUAUGUAUCAGGUGAUGACUUAUUUGAUGUGACUGAGUCUUUGAUCAGAAUGCAAUUCCAAGUUUAAUGUUGUUCCCACAGAUAUGCAACUAACUGCUCUGCCAUGACCUGAGUUAAGACCAAUGGCCGAUUGUACCCUGUGUAGACAGCUGGAAUGUAUAAUCCAACUUGAGCACCAUUGACCUUAUUGAAGCCCACACAACUGAGAAGAUAAUCUCAGAAAAAUAGAGUAUAAAUUGCCAAAUCAGAUAGCUGUACAAUCAAUGAUGAAUAUAUUUCAACCAAGCUUAUGUGUUGAAUGACUAAUAAGAUGCUAAAUGGCCAGAGAAAUUUCCGUGAUUUUACUGAUUUAAUGACACUGCAGUGAAAGAAAUGGAACAGCCAAAAGAUACUUCCUCCACCUACCCCAGCCCCAAGAAUUCUCUGUAAGGAAUUUCAGAGUAAACUUUUCUAAAUACUAAGUGGAGAGUAAAAUUCUUUGUAGAGUUGUUUUCAUAACUAUAAAGCAUUUGAGCACCUAGUUACCCACUAGUAGAAACAUUCACUUUAAAAAAUCCUGGUGAUAUUUGGUGUCAUUAUAUAAUGGAAGAUUAGAUACACAUAUGGAGUGUAUCUAGUUCAAUUAACUGCCAAGUGUGAGAAAAUUUGUUAGCUCAAUGUCUGGCUCUCUUGUAGAAACCAAGAGAUAGCACCUCAUGGUACCAUUGUAACAGGGAGCGCAAGGUGAUGCCCAAACCCAGCUCCUGCCUCGCAAUCUCUAGUUAAAUAACCAGUAGCCUGACUCGAGUAAGACCAGGGAUUAUCAGGAUGUCAAAUGUUCAGCGCUAAAACCAAGAAAGCCCCAGGCACACCCAAUGGGUGAGCCGCUCCAUUCCUCUAGUUCUUUGAAAAUGCACAAAAGUUUCACGUGUUCUUUACCCUGGGAGUUUUUCUGUGAACAGCUCUCCCAGCUCUCCCAGAGCUGCUCGAGGUGGGGGAGGUGAGGGAUGGGCCACGUGUCCCAGGGCAUCUACCUCCCGCACUGGAGAUGUCCUCAGCUUUAUCUGCAAGUAACCAGGCUGCUGCAGGCUACGGGGCGGGGCUCUUCUGGUGCCUUGGGUCUUUGCUACUCUGUCUCUUCCCUAUUGACACUUCAGCUCCCAUUCCCACAGGGCCUGUGGUUGUCAGCCAGUGAGUGGAGCCCACAGACAAGCCUCCACAGGAACUUGCUCUCCGUAUGCUGUUAACUGAUAAAAAGACUGUUGUCCAGGGCAAAAAGUGACUUCUUUCAAGGGUUUGGAGGUUUCCAAAGGGCAAUCUUAGAGAUCAAGAAACCAAACUCAAGGCCGGCGCUGCGGCUCACUAGGCUAAUCCUCCGCCUUGCGGCGCCGGCACACCGGGUUCUAGUCCCGGUCGGGGCGCCGGAUUGUGUCCCGGUUGCCCCUCUUCCAGGCCAGCUCUCUGCUGUGGCCAGGGAGUGCAGUGGAGGAUGGCCCAAGUGCUUGGGCCCUGCACCCCAUGGGAGACCAGGAGAAGUACCUGGCUCCUGCCAUCGGAUCAGCGCGGUGCGCCGGCCGCAGCGCGCCGGCCGCGGCGGCCAUUGGAGGGUGAACCAAUGGCAAAAGGAAGACCUUUCUCUCUGUCUCUCUCUCACCGUCCACUC